Molecule: long non-coding RNA, 506 nt
Organism: Suricata suricatta (meerkat)
Lineage: Eukaryota; Metazoa; Chordata; Mammalia; Carnivora; Herpestidae
Exons: 4
Source: RefSeq, a predicted model, not a curated record
GAGGUCAAGGCCAGUCUAUCACUAUUUCACAGACCCACAGGGCAUAUAAUACUGCGCCCCCAAGAGAUUUGUUUAAAUAAUGGAAGAGGGAAAAAAAUGAACUUCCUUCCUCAUCAUUGUUUUGGAAAGUAAAAUAAAUCAAAUUAUGUGAAUUAUUCAAAACAGUUUUGUAUGCUUAUGAGGGAUAGAAUCUUGUCCUCAUUUCAUGGAAAAAGAGACUGAAACAUAGAGAUGGGACACCAAGUCUGCUCCUGCCUCAGGCCCUUUGCAACUUGCUGCUCUUCUGUCCAGGAGCCUUUUUCCCUAGACUUCUGCACAGCCUGCUCAAUCAUCUACACGUCUUCUCUCAAGUGCUGCCUUGUAGUGAGCCCUCUCUGAACACCAUGUUUACAUCUGUGGUCAUGUGACACUACCCCCACCCAGGGAUUCCAAACUGGAUUCCAUUUUCUUUUACUACCUUCAUUUCAUAGGAAAUGCUUUCUUGAUUUAUACUACUUAUUAUUACC